AUGCCCGAACCUAAUAAGAGUGUAAAGGAUGAAGAAGAAAUAUCUCCAGGGGCUGAGGAAAUUGUCAGGAGUGAUGACAUCACAGGAAAAUCCACCAACCAGAGCCACAGGGACCAGAGCCCAGCCCCUCACCCAGAGCAUCCCAGGUACCUGAUACCCAUCUGUGCCUGUGCCAUGGGCUGCCGGCUGCUCUGCUGUGUGGUCCUCUGUGUCCUGGGAGCAGUCCCCAUGGACACCGGAGUUACCCAGACACCAAGACACCUGGUCAUGGGAAUGACAGGUGAGAAGUCUUUGAAAUGUGAACAAACUCUGGGGCAUAAUGCUAUGUACUGGUACAAACAGAGUGAUAAGAAGCCACCGGAGCUCAUGUUUAUCUUCAACUAUAAAAGACUCAGUGAAAAUAUGUCUGUGCCAAGUCGCUUCUCACCAGAAUUCCGUGACAGCUCUCAAUUGCACCUUCGCCUGGAAGCCCUGCAACCGGAAGUCUCAGCCACGUAUCUCUGCGCCAGCAGCCAAGACACAGCCCUGCAGAGUCAGCUCCUCCCUGUACACAAACCUUCGGGCCCAGCCAAGAAGCUGGUGAACAUUUCCUGUGAGAGCCCUGCCAGAAGGUUCAGAGCACAGUACCACCUGCUUAUUCGACCCAUGGGGCAACUUUAA
Molecule: non-coding RNA, 660 nt
Organism: Otolemur garnettii (small-eared galago)
Lineage: Eukaryota; Metazoa; Chordata; Mammalia; Primates; Galagidae
Source: the annotation of a RefSeq genome assembly